RNAcentral lists this ribosomal RNA (465 nucleotides) under uncultured bacterium. Its description in RNAcentral is "partial 16S ribosomal RNA". It matches the Rfam family "Bacterial small subunit ribosomal RNA", at positions 28 to 507 of the family's 1533-position model. The record is from RNAcentral.
GACGAACGCUGGCGGCGUGCUUAACACAUGCAAGUCGAACGGAAAGGCCCCUUUGGGGGUACUCGAGUGGCGAACGGGUGAGUAACACGUGAGUAACCUGCCCUUGACUUCGGGAUAACUUCAGGAAACUGGGGCUAAUACCGGAUAGGAAUCCUUGCUGCAUGGUGGGGGUUGGAAAGCUUCGGCGGUUUUGGAUGGACUCGCGGCUUAUCAGCUUGUUGGUGGGGUAGUGGCUUACCAAGGCUUUGACGGGUAGCCGGCCUGAGAGGGCGACCGGCCACAUUGGGACUGAGAUACGGCCCAGACUCCUACGGGAGGCAGCAGGGGGGAAUAUUGCACAAUGGGCGGAAGCCGGAUGCAGCAACGCCGCGUGCGGGAGGACGGCCUUCGGGUUGGAAACCGCUUUCAGCAGGGGCGAAGCUUGUGGUGACGGUACCUGCAGAAGAAGCACCGGCUAACUACGUG